UCCAGACUCCUACGGGAGGCAGCAGUGGGGAAUAUUGGACAAUGGGGGGAACCCUGAUCCAGCGACGCCGCGUGAGUGAAGAAGUAUUUCGGUAUGUAAAGCUCUAUCAGCAGGGAAGAAAGAAAUGACGGUACCUGACUAAGAAGCCCCGGCUAACUACGUGCCAGCAGCCGCGGUAAUACGUAGGGGGCGAGCGUUAUCCGGAUUCACUGGGUGUAAAGGGAGCGUAGACGGCCAAGCAAGCCAGGGGUGAAAGCCCGGGGCCCAACCCCGGGACUGCCCUUGGAACUGCUUGGCUGGAGUGCGGGAGGGGCAGGCGGAAUUCCUGGUGUAGCGGUGAAAUGCGUAGAUAUCAGGAGGAACACCGGUGGCGAAGGCGGCCGCCUGGCCUGUUGCUGACGCUGAGGCACGAAAGCGUGGGGAGCAAAUAGGAUUAGAUACCCUAGUAAAC
RNAcentral lists this ribosomal RNA (451 nucleotides) under uncultured bacterium. RNAcentral describes it as "partial 16S ribosomal RNA". It matches the Rfam family "Bacterial small subunit ribosomal RNA", at positions 330 to 795 of the family's 1533-position model. The record is from RNAcentral.